Molecule: ribosomal RNA, 477 nt
Filed under: uncultured anaerobic ammonium-oxidizing bacterium
Lineage: Bacteria
Description: bacterial SSU rRNA
Rfam family: Bacterial small subunit ribosomal RNA
Source: RNAcentral
UUCGCAAUGCCCGAAAGGGUGACGAAGCGACGCCGCGUGUGGGAAGAAGGCCUUCGGGUUGUAAACCACUGUCGGGAGUUAAGAAAUGCAAGGGUGCUAAUAGUAUCCUUGCUUGACUAAGGCUCCGGAGGAAGCCACGGCUAACUCUGUGCCAGCAGCCGCGGUAAUACAGAGGCGGCAAGCGUUGUCCGGAAUUAUUGGGCGUAAAGAGCACGUAGGCGGCUAUGUAAGUCGGUUGUGAAAGCCUUCCGCUCAACGGAAGAACAGCAUCCGAUACUGCAUGGCUUGAGUGCGGGAGGGGAGAGUGGAACUUCUGGUGGAGCGGUGAAAUGCGUAGAUAUCAGAAGGAACGCCGGCGGCGAAAGCGGCUCUCUGGCCCAUAACUGACGCUGAGUGUGCGAAAGCUAGGGGAGCAAACGGGAUUAGAUACCCCGGUAGUCCUAGCCGUAAACGAUGGGCACUAAGUAGAGGGGUUUU